RNAcentral lists this ribosomal RNA (433 nucleotides) under uncultured bacterium. RNAcentral describes it as "partial 16S ribosomal RNA". It matches the Rfam family "Bacterial small subunit ribosomal RNA", at positions 29 to 507 of the family's 1533-position model. The record is from RNAcentral.
AACGAACGCUGGCGGCAUGCCUAACACAUGCAAGUCGAACGCGCCCUUCGGGUCGAGUGACGCGGGGGUGUGUAACGCGGGGAAACCUGCCUUUAUGUUGGGAAUCACUCCGCGACAGGGGUUCUAAUAGCAUAUGCUGUCCUGGGGCCAAAGAUUUAUCGCCGUGGGAUGGGCCCGCGUUGGAUUAGCUAGUUGGUAGGGUAAAAGCCUACCAAGGCGACGAUCCAUAGCUGGUCUGAGAGGAUGAUCAGCCACAUUGGGACUGAGACACGGCCCAGACUCCUACGGGAGGCAGCAGUGGGGAAUAUUGGACAAUGGGCGAAAGCCUGAUCCAGCCAUGCCGCGUGAGUGAUGAAGGCCUUAGGGUUGUAAAGCUCUUUUACCCAUGAUGAUAAUGACAGUACCGGGAGAAUAAGCCCCGGCUAACUCCGUG